GCAGACACAUUCCAGCCAAUCAGCAGCAGACCCUCCCUCCCAGACCCUCCCACCUCCUGGACAGCAUCCAUUUUGAAGCUGCAUUCUUAGUGAGCCGUCCAGGAGGUGGGAGAGUCUGGGAGGGAGGGUCUGCUGCUGAUUGGCUGGAAUGUGUCUG
RNAcentral lists this microRNA precursor (157 nucleotides) under Pelobates cultripes (western spadefoot toad). Lineage: Eukaryota; Metazoa; Chordata; Amphibia; Anura; Pelobatidae. The record is from RNAcentral.